GGGCCCAUAGCUCAAUUGGUAGAGCAGCGGACUCAUAAUCCGUUGGUUCCAGGUUCAAGUCCUGGUGGGCCCA
RNAcentral lists this transfer RNA (73 nucleotides) under Candidatus Hatepunaea meridiana. Its description in RNAcentral is "tRNA-Ile". It matches the Rfam family "tRNA". From Rfam's summary of the family: Transfer RNA (tRNA) molecules are approximately 80 nucleotides in length. Their secondary structure includes four short double-helical elements and three loops (D, anti-codon, and T loops). The record is from RNAcentral. Lineage: Bacteria; Pseudomonadati; Candidatus Electryoneota; Candidatus Electryoneia; Candidatus Hatepunaeales; Candidatus Hatepunaeaceae.